RNAcentral lists this ribosomal RNA (468 nucleotides) under uncultured soil bacterium. Its description in RNAcentral is "bacterial SSU rRNA". It matches the Rfam family "Bacterial small subunit ribosomal RNA", at positions 26 to 498 of the family's 1533-position model. The record is from RNAcentral.
AGGACGAACGCUGGCGGCGUGCUUAACACAUGCAAGUCGAGGGCGUGGAGCAAUCCACGACCGGCGAACGGGUGCGUAACACGUGAGCGACCUGCCGACCACUGGGGGAUAGCCGGCCCAACGGCCGGGUAACACCGCAUACGCUUCUUUCCCUGCAUGGGGAUUGAAGGAAACCUCCGGGGGUGGUCGAGGGGCUCGCGGCUUAUCAGCUAGUUGGUGAGGUCACGGCUCACCAAGGCGACGACGAGUAGCUGGUCUGAGAGGAUGGCCAGCCACAUUGGGACUGAGAGACGGCCCAGACUCCUACGGGAGGCAGCAGUGGGGAAUCGUUGCGCAAUCGGCCGCAAGGCUGACGCAGCGACGCCGCGUGUAGGAGGACGCCGUUUCGGGGUGUAAACUACGUGUUCGACCCGGGACGAACUACUUCCCGUUUUACGGACGGGUACUGGACCGGGUACCGGGUAGGAA